UACGGGAGGCAGCAGUGGGGAAUUUUGGACAAUGGGGGAAACCCUGAUCCAGCMAUCCCGCGUGUGCGAUGAAGGCCUUCGGGUUGUAAAGCACUUUUGGCAGGAAAGAAAUGUCGCGGGUUAAUACCCCGCGGAACUGACGGUACCUGCAGAAUAAGCACCG
Molecule: ribosomal RNA, 163 nt
Filed under: uncultured bacterium Af8-519
Lineage: Bacteria
Description: partial 16S ribosomal RNA
Rfam family: Bacterial small subunit ribosomal RNA
Source: RNAcentral